RNAcentral lists this long non-coding RNA (276 nucleotides) under Dermacentor andersoni. RNAcentral describes it as "uncharacterized LOC126542822". Lineage: Eukaryota; Metazoa; Arthropoda; Arachnida; Ixodida; Ixodidae. The record is from RNAcentral.
UAGCAUAAAACGCUUGUGUUAGCGUUACCGUGCGACGCAACGCUACCGCAAAGAAAGGCUGCACUGCGCGGCACAAGGUAGUGUUUUAGAAUAGCGGAACGGAGAAAAGCGCUAACCGAAAUACACUUGGGCGCCAUCUCGAGGCGGAUACAGCAAACAUGAGCAAACAUGAGCAAACCUACUCGUUAAGCCUACUGCGCCGCUAAACGAGAACGUAUAUCGUAAACAGCGUCCAUUUGUCACCUGUACGCCUCUGUCGAAGCAUCAUCACACAAA